ACUCAAAUGAAUUGACGGGGACCCGCACAAGCGGUGGAUGAUGUGGAUUAAUUCGAUGCAACGCGAAAAACCUUACCUACCCUUGACAUGGUCCGAACCUGCUAGAGAUAGUGGGGUGCUCGCAAGAGAGCGGAUACACAGGUGCUGCAUGGCUGUCGUCAGCUCGUGUCGUGAGAUGUUGGGUUAAGUCCCGCAACGAGCGCAACCCUUGUCAUUAAUUGCCAUCAUUAGGUUGGGCACUUUAAUGAGACUGCCGGUGACAAACCGGAGGAAGGUGGGGAUGACGUCAAGUCCUCAUGGCCCUUAUGGGUAGGGCCUCACACGUCAUACAAUGGUACAUACAGAGGGUUGCCAAGCCGCGAGGUGGAGCUAAUCCCAGAAAGUGUAUCGUAGUCCGGAUUGGAGUCUGCAACCCGACUCCAUGAAGUUGGAAUCGCUAGUAAUCGCGGAUCAGCAUGUCGCGGUGAAUACGUUCCCGGGUCUUGUACACACCGCCCGU
RNAcentral lists this ribosomal RNA (499 nucleotides) under uncultured bacterium. RNAcentral describes it as "partial 16S ribosomal RNA". It matches the Rfam family "Bacterial small subunit ribosomal RNA", at positions 899 to 1397 of the family's 1533-position model. The record is from RNAcentral.